GCUCAGACCUGGAAUCCCAGCAGUUUGGGAGGCCGAGGUGGGAGGACUGCAUGAAGCCAGGAAUUCAAGACCAGCCUGGGCAACAGAGCAAGACCCUGUCCCUACAAAAAUCUUUUUUUAAUUAGCAAAGCUUGGUGGUACACACCUGCAGUCCUAGCUACUCAGGAGACUGAGGAAGGAGGAUCGCUUGAGCAGGACUGCAGUGAGCUAUGAUCAUAUCACUGCACUCUAGCCUGAGUGACAGAGUGAGACCCUGUCUCAAAACAAACAAAAACCUAUAGAAUGUAUAACACAAACAGUGAAUCUUAAGGUAAAUUAUAGACUUAAUAAUAAUGCAGCAACAUCAGUUCCUGAUUCUAACAAACAACACAUUGGUUAAUUUCAGAUGUAGACAACAGGGAAAGCUGGGAUGCAUGAGGUAUAUGUGGAAACUCUCUCAGCAAAAACAAAGGCAGAUGCCAGUAACACGUGGCUGGAGGCUAAAGCACAUGGAAAACAGUGAGCCUGAAGAGAGAAGAUGAAAACAGACGCCCCCUCUCACUGGAGAAAUUUGCUGAAGUGGAAAUCCAUCCUUUAAGAGAAGAGCACUUGGAUUAGCUGGGAAGGGUCCUCGCAACCUAAGGUUAUUCUGGGGCAAACAGAACUGGUUUCUCAGACAGACACUCUCCUUCCAUGUAGAAGUGCUCUGAGCCAUGGCUGCUGUAAGCGCUCAAGACAGCAGAGAAGUUUCCGGUGACAUGAGGCAGUCUUGGUGCAAUUCCUAAACAUUCCUGGCACUUCCACAGAGCUGCCUGGAGAGGAACAGUGCCAGCAGCAACCCAUUCUCUCUGUGCCCAUCCCAACCUCCCUAUUCCCACACUUUGCUGGUCAAAGUCAGACUCAUCUUUAGUCAAAGAAAGGCAUUCUUCAGCCACAGCAUUGGUCUCCAUCAAAAUGGCAAAGAUUUAAAAAUGAAAAUAAUGGAUCAGGCGAGGUAGCUUACGCCUGUAAUCCCAGCACUUUGGGAGGCUGGGGAGGGUAGAUCGCAAGGUCAGGAGUUCAAGACCAGCCUGGCCAAGAUGGUGAAACUCUGUCUCUACUAAAAAUACAAAAAUUAGCCAGGCAUGGUGGUGGGUGCCUGUAAUCCCAGCUACUCAAGAGGCUGAGGCAGAGAAUUGCUUGAACCUGGGAGGCAGAGGUUGCAGUGAGCUGAGAUCGUGCCACUGCACUAUAGCCUGGGUGACAGAGUGAUACUCCAUCUCAAAAAAGAAAGAAAAUAGUGUUGGCAGUUGUGCAAUGAGAUAGAAGAGCUCCUACAUUGUGAGUGGGAAUGUGAUGGGCCAGUAAAUGCCCAAAGCCAUGGAAAUGUUCAUACUCUUCAACCCAGCAGUUCCACUCCUCAGAAUCUGCCCUAAGGGAAUACCCAGAUGCCGUCACAGGUUUUAUGUACAUCGAUGCUCGUUUCAGCAUUAUUCAUAAUAGCAACCAACUUGGAAACUACCAAAAUAUCUGAUGAUAAUGAAGUGAUUACUCAAAUCCAAAGUAUUGAAUAUUAAACAGCCAUUAAAUACUAUAUUUUUAAAGAACAUGGGGAAAGACCCUUGACAUGUGAAAUGAAAGACAAAAGGGCUGUCCAAUUGUCUAAAUACAAUGACUUCAAUGUUGUUAAACAUAGAUCCGAAGCCUGCAAGGACACUCCCUCAAAUGUGUACUGUCGUUGCUCUGGAUUAAAGAUAGUUAUAAUUAUCUUCUUUGUCCUUCUUGGUUUUUCUCAAAUUUUCAUGUAAGCACAUAUAUUAUUUUUCACUUGGAAAAACCUAUUAAAAAUAAAAAGUCCUAUCACAUCUCAAGGCUCAGCUUAAAUUACACUUUUCCCUGGAAACUCUCUCACACGGGUAUGACAAGCAUU
RNAcentral lists this long non-coding RNA (1888 nucleotides) under Callithrix jacchus (white-tufted-ear marmoset). RNAcentral's name for it is "lncRNA (ENSCJAG00000072815.1)". The record is from RNAcentral. Lineage: Eukaryota; Metazoa; Chordata; Mammalia; Primates; Cebidae.